GCCCCCGUGUUGUAACGGGAGCCUGCCGUCUUGGUAUGGCGGAAGCGUGGGUUCGAUUCCCACCGGGGGCUC
RNAcentral lists this transfer RNA (72 nucleotides) under Urbifossiella limnaea. Its description in RNAcentral is "Planctomycetes bacterium ETA_A1 tRNA-Thr". It matches the Rfam family "tRNA". Rfam says of the family: Transfer RNA (tRNA) molecules are approximately 80 nucleotides in length. Their secondary structure includes four short double-helical elements and three loops (D, anti-codon, and T loops). Further hydrogen bonds mediate the characteristic L-shaped molecular structure. tRNAs have two regions of fundamental functional importance: the anti-codon, which is responsible for specific mRNA codon recognition, and the 3' end, to which the tRNAs corresponding amino acid is attached (by aminoacyl-tRNA synthetases). tRNAs cope with the degeneracy of the genetic code in two manners: having more than one tRNA (with a specific anti-codon) for a particular amino acid; and 'wobble' base-pairing, i.e. permitting non-standard base-pairing at the 3rd anti-codon position. The record is from RNAcentral. Lineage: Bacteria; Pseudomonadati; Planctomycetota; Planctomycetia; Gemmatales; Gemmataceae.